GAUGAAGAACGUAGCGAAAUGCGAUAAGUAAUGUGAAUUGCAGAAUUCAGUGAAUCAUCGAAUCUUUGAAUGCACAUUGCGCCCGCCAGUAUUCUGGCGGGCAUGCCUGUCUGAGCGUCAUUUCAACCCUCAUGCCCCUAGGGCGUGGUGUUGGGGAUCGGCCAAAGCCCGCGAGGGACGGCCGGCCCCUAAAUCUAGUGGCGGACCCGUCGUGGCCUCCUCUGCGAAGUAGUGAUAUUCCGCAUCGGAGAGCGAUGAGCCCCUGCCGUUAAACCCCCAACUUUCCAAGGUUGACCUCAGAUCAGGUAGGAAUACCCGCUGAACUUAAGCAUAUCAAUAAGCGGAGGA
This 348-nucleotide unclassified non-coding RNA is filed under the name soil metagenome. Its description in RNAcentral is "partial contains 5.8S ribosomal RNA, internal transcribed spacer 2, and large subunit ribosomal RNA". The stretch from base 1 to 120 matches the Rfam family "5.8S ribosomal RNA", at positions 35 to 154 of the family's 154-position model. The record is from RNAcentral.